Molecule: ribosomal RNA, 740 nt
Filed under: uncultured bacterium
Lineage: Bacteria
Description: bacterial SSU rRNA
Rfam family: Bacterial small subunit ribosomal RNA
Source: RNAcentral
UCGGUGAUGACGCUGGGAACGCGAGCGGCGGAUGGGUGAGUAACACGUGGGUAACCUGCCCUAAAGUCUGGGACACCACUUGGAAACAGGUGCUAAUACCGGAUAACAACAAUAGCUGCAUGGCUAUUGCUUAAAAGGCGGCGAAAGCUGUCGCUAAAGGAUGGACCCGCGGUGCAUUAGCUAGUUGGUAAGGUAAUGGCUUACCAAGGCGACGAUGCAUAGCCGAGUUGAGAGACUGAUCGGCCACAUUGGGACUGAGACACGGCCCAAGCUCCUACGGGAGGCAGCAGUAGGGAAUCUUCCACAAUGGACGAAAGCCUGAUGGAGCAACGCCGCGUGAGUGAAGAAGGUUUUCGGAUCGUAAAGCUCUGUUGUUGGUGAAGAAGGAUAGAGGUAGUAACUGGCCCCUAUUUGACGGUAAUCAACCAGAAAGUCACGGCUAACUACGUGCCAGCAGCCGCGGUAAUACGUAGGUGGCAAGCGUUGUCCGGAUUUAUUGGGCGUAAAGCGAGCGCAGGCGGAAAGAUAAGUCUGAUGUGAAAGCCCCCGGCUUAACCGAGGAAUUGCAUCGGAAACUGUGUUUCUUGAGUGCAGAAGAGGAGAGUGGAACUCCAUGUGUAGCGGUGGAAUGCGUAGAUAUAUGGAAGUACACCAGUGGCGAAGGCGGCUCUCUGGUCUGUAACUGACGCUGAGGCUCGAAAGCAUGGGUAGCGAACAGGAUUAGAUACCCUGGUAGUCCA